This 253-nucleotide ribosomal RNA is filed under the name uncultured bacterium. RNAcentral describes it as "partial 16S ribosomal RNA". It matches the Rfam family "Bacterial small subunit ribosomal RNA", at positions 524 to 776 of the family's 1533-position model. The record is from RNAcentral.
UACGUAGGGACCAAGCGUUGUUCGGAUUUACUGGGCGUAAAGGGCGCGUAGGCGGCAAUUCAAGUCAGCUGUGAAAUCUCCGGGCUUAACUCGGAACGGUCAGCUGAUACUGCUUUGCUAGAGUGCAGAAGGGGCAAUCGGAAUUCCUGGUGUAGCGGUGAAAUGCGUAGAUAUCAGGAGGAAUACCGGUGGCGAAAGCGACUCUCUGGACGGCAACUGACGCUGAGGCACGAAAGCGUGGGGAGCAAACAGG